CUACGGGCCGCAGCAGUGAGGAAUAUUGCACAAUGGGGGGAACCCUGAUGCAGCAACGCCGCGUGGAGGAUGACGCAUUUCGGUGUGUAAACUCCUUUUAUAUGUCAAGAAAAUGACGGUAGCAUAUGAAUAAGCACCGGCUAACUCCGUGCCAGCAGCCGCGGUAAUACGGAGGGUGCAAGCGUUACUCGGAAUCACUGGGCGUAAAGGACGCGUAGGCGGGUCGGAAAGUCAGGUGUGAAAUCCUACAGCUUAACUGUAGAACUGCACUUGAAACUUCUAAUCUAGAGUAUGGGAGGGGGAGAUGGAAUUAGUGGUGUAGGGGUAAAACCCGUAGAUAUCACUAGGAAUACCUAAAGCGAAGGCGAUCUCCUGGAACAUUACUGACGCUAAGGCGUGAAAGCGUGGGGAGCAAACAGGAUUAGAUACCCUCGUAGUC
RNAcentral lists this ribosomal RNA (439 nucleotides) under uncultured bacterium. RNAcentral's name for it is "partial 16S ribosomal RNA". It matches the Rfam family "Bacterial small subunit ribosomal RNA", at positions 339 to 795 of the family's 1533-position model. The record is from RNAcentral.